UCUAAUAUGGCAGAUUAGUGCAAUGAAUUUAAGAUUCAUAUAUAAAAAUUUAUUUUUUAUUAGAA
Molecule: transfer RNA, 65 nt
Filed under: Rhagonycha fulva
Lineage: Eukaryota; Metazoa; Arthropoda; Insecta; Coleoptera; Cantharidae
Description: tRNA-Leu
Source: RNAcentral